GCGAAAAGAACCCCGGCGAGGGGAGUGAAAAAGAACCUGAAACCGUGUACGUACAAGCAGUGGGAGCCCCACCACCAAAGCAUUCUCUGGUGUUGAAGGCCCUGCAAAGCAGCAUCGCGGUGGCGGAGCGUCGUUUGCGACGCCCAACACACAAAACAAGCGGUGAGUGCUUUGGGGUGGGGUGACUGCGUACCUUUUGUAUAAUGGGUCAGCGACUUAUAUUCUGUAGCAAGGUUAACCGAAUAGGGGAGCCGGAGGGAAACCGAGUCUUAAUUGGGCGUUAAGUUGCAGGGUAUAGACCCGAAACCCGGUGAUCUAGCCAUGGGCAGGUUGAAGGUUGGGUAACACUAACUGGAGGACCGAACCGACUAAUGUUGAAAAAUUAGCGGAUGACCUGUGGCUGGGGGUGAAAGGCCAAUCAAACCGGGAGAUAGCUGGUUCUCCCCGAAAGCUAUUUAGGUAGCGCCUCGUGAAUUCAUCUCCGGGGGUAGAGCACUGUUUCGGCUAGGGGGCCAUCCCGGCUUACCAACCCGAUGCAAACUGCGAAUACCGGAGAAUGUUAUCACGGGAGACACACGGCGGGUGCUAACGUCCGUCGUGAAGAGGGAAACAACCCAGACCGCCAGCUAAGGUCCCAAAGUCAUGGUUAAGUGGGAAACGAUGUGGGAAGGCCCAGACAGCCAGGAUGUUGGCUUAGAAGCAGCCAUCAUUUAAAGAAAGCGUAAUAGCUCACUGGUCGAGUCGGCCUGCGCGGAAGAUGUAACGGGGCUAAACCAUGCACCGAAGCUGCGGCAGCGACGCUUAUGCGUUGUUGGGUAGGGGAGCGUUCUGUA
This 833-nucleotide ribosomal RNA is filed under the name Salmonella enterica. RNAcentral's name for it is "partial 23S ribosomal RNA". It matches the Rfam family "Bacterial large subunit ribosomal RNA", at positions 514 to 1245 of the family's 2925-position model. Lineage: Bacteria; Pseudomonadati; Pseudomonadota; Gammaproteobacteria; Enterobacterales; Enterobacteriaceae. The record is from RNAcentral.